UAGGUAGCUUAACCUUCGGGAGGGCGCUUACCACUUUGUGACUCAUGACUGGGGUGAAGUCGUAACAAGGUAACCGUAGGGGAACCUGCGGUUGGAUCACCUCCUUACCUUAAAGAAGC
This 119-nucleotide ribosomal RNA is filed under the name Escherichia coli. RNAcentral describes it as "partial 16S ribosomal RNA". The stretch from base 1 to 107 matches the Rfam family "Bacterial small subunit ribosomal RNA", at positions 1427 to 1533 of the family's 1533-position model. Lineage: Bacteria; Pseudomonadati; Pseudomonadota; Gammaproteobacteria; Enterobacterales; Enterobacteriaceae. The record is from RNAcentral.